RNAcentral lists this transfer RNA (83 nucleotides) under Prevotella sp. CAG:755. It matches the Rfam family "tRNA". From Rfam's summary of the family: Transfer RNA (tRNA) molecules are approximately 80 nucleotides in length. Their secondary structure includes four short double-helical elements and three loops (D, anti-codon, and T loops). Further hydrogen bonds mediate the characteristic L-shaped molecular structure. tRNAs have two regions of fundamental functional importance: the anti-codon, which is responsible for specific mRNA codon recognition, and the 3' end, to which the tRNAs corresponding amino acid is attached (by aminoacyl-tRNA synthetases). tRNAs cope with the degeneracy of the genetic code in two manners: having more than one tRNA (with a specific anti-codon) for a particular amino acid; and 'wobble' base-pairing, i.e. permitting non-standard base-pairing at the 3rd anti-codon position. The record is from Rfam by way of RNAcentral. Lineage: Bacteria; Pseudomonadati; Bacteroidota; Bacteroidia; Bacteroidales; Prevotellaceae. RNAcentral also lists the same sequence under 2 other names.
GCCCAGGUGGCGGAAUGGUAGACGCGCCAGUUUCAGGUACUGGUGUUAGCAAUGACGUGCAGGUUCGAGUCCUGUUCUGGGCA